CGGGGCGUGGCUCAGCCUGGUAGAGCGCCCGGUUCGGGACCGGGAGGUCGUUGGUUCAAAUCCAAUCGCCCCGACCA
Molecule: transfer RNA, 77 nt
Filed under: Acidobacteriota bacterium
Lineage: Bacteria; Pseudomonadati; Acidobacteriota
Also listed under: 1 other name
Description: Acidobacteria bacterium (groundwater metagenome) tRNA-Pro
Rfam family: tRNA
About the family: Transfer RNA (tRNA) molecules are approximately 80 nucleotides in length. Their secondary structure includes four short double-helical elements and three loops (D, anti-codon, and T loops). Further hydrogen bonds mediate the characteristic L-shaped molecular structure. tRNAs have two regions of fundamental functional importance: the anti-codon, which is responsible for specific mRNA codon recognition, and the 3' end, to which the tRNAs corresponding amino acid is attached (by aminoacyl-tRNA synthetases). tRNAs cope with the degeneracy of the genetic code in two manners: having more than one tRNA (with a specific anti-codon) for a particular amino acid; and 'wobble' base-pairing, i.e. permitting non-standard base-pairing at the 3rd anti-codon position.
Source: RNAcentral